GAGAGUUUGAUCCUGGCUCAGAUUGAACGCUGGCGGCAGGCUUAACACAUGCAAGUCGAGCGGGGUGAUGUAGCUUGCUACAUUACCUAGCGGCGGACGGGUGAGUAAUGCUUAGGAAUCUGCCUAUUAGUGGGGGACAACAUUCCGAAAGGAAUGCUAAUACCGCAUACGCCCUACGGGGGAAAGCAGGGGAUCUUCGGACCUUGCGCUAAUAGAUGAGCCUAAGUCAGAUUAGCUAGUUGGUGGGGUAAAGGCCUACCAAGGCGACGAUCUGUAGCGGGUCUGAGAGGAUGAUCCGCCACGCUGGGACUGAGACACGGCCCAGACUCCUACGGGAGGCAGCAGUGGGGAAUAUUGGACAAUGGGCGAAAGCCUGAUCCAGCCAUGCCGCGUGUGUGAAGAAGGCCUUCUGGUUGUAAAGCACUUUAAGCGAGGAGGAGGCUACUUGGAUUAAUACUCUAGGAUAGUGGACGUUACUCGCAGAAUAAGCACCGGCUAACUCUGUGCCAGCAGCCGCGGUAAUACAGAGGGUGCGAGCGUUAAUCGGAUUUACUGGGCGUAAAGCGUGCGUAGGCGGCUUUUUAAGUCGGAUGUGAAAUCCCUGAGCUUAACUUAGGAAUUGCAUUCGAUACUGGGAAGCUAGGGUAUGGGAGAGGAUGGUAGAAUUCCAGGUGUAGCGGUGAAAUGCGUAGAGAUCUGGAGGAAUACCGAUGGCGAAGGCAGCCAUCUGGCCUAAUACUGACGCUGAGGUACGAAAGCAUGGGGAGCAAACAGGAUUAGAUACCCUGGUAGUCCAUGCCGUAAACGAUGUCUACUAGCCGUUGGGGCCUUUGAGGCUUUAGUGGCGCAGCUAACGCGAUAAGUAGACCGCCUGGGGAGUACGGUCGCAAGACUAAAACUCAAAUGAAUUGACGGGGGCCCGCACAAGCGGUGGAGCAUGUGGUUUAAUUCGAUGCAACGCGAAGAACCUUACCUGGUCUUGACAUAGUAAGAACUUUCCAGAGAUGGAUUGGUGCCUUCGGGAACUUACAUACAGGUGCUGCAUGGCUGUCGUCAGCUCGUGUCGUGAGAUGUUGGGUUAAGUCCCGCAACGAGCGCAACCCUUUUCCUUAUUUGCCAGCGGGUUAAGCCGGGAACUUUAAGGAUACUGCCAGUGACAAACUGGAGGAAGGCGGGGACGACGUCAAGUCAUCAUGGCCCUUACGACCAGGGCUACACACGUGCUACAAUGGUCGGUACAAAGGGUUGCUACCUAGCGAUAGGAUGCUAAUCUCAAAAAGCCGAUCGUAGUCCGGAUUGGAGUCUGCAACUCGACUCCAUGAAGUCGGAAUCGCUAGUAUCGCGGAUCAGAAUGCCGCGGUGAAUACGUUCCCGGGCCUUGUACACACCGCCCGUCACACCAUGGGAAUUUGUUGCACCAGAAGUAGGUAGUCUAACCGCAAGGAGGACGCUUACCACGGUGUGGCCGAUGACUGGGGUGAAGUCGUAACAAGGUAGCCGUAG
This 1503-nucleotide ribosomal RNA is filed under the name uncultured bacterium. Its description in RNAcentral is "bacterial SSU rRNA". It matches the Rfam family "Bacterial small subunit ribosomal RNA". The record is from RNAcentral.